UUGCACUACGCUUAAACGAGCGGCGGACGGGUGAGUAACGCGUGAACAAUCUGUCCUUUACAGGGGGAUACCACUUGGAAACAGGUGCUAAUACCGCAUAAGACCACGGUACCGCAUGAUACAGGGGUCAAAGGAGCAAUCCGGUGAGGGGUGAGUUCGCGUCCGAUUAGAUAGUUGGUGAGGUAACGGCCCACCAAGUCAACGAUCGGUAGCCGACCUGAGAGGGUGAUCGGCCACAUUGGAACUGAGAUACGGUCCAAACUCCUACGGGAGGCAGCAGUGGGGAAUAUUGGGCAAUGGGCGAAAGCCUGACCCAGCAACGCCGCGUGAGGGAUGAAGGUUCUCUGGGUUGUAAACCUCUGUCCUAAGUGACGAAGGAAGUGACGGUAGCUUAGGAGGAAGCCCCGGCUAACUACGUGCCAGCAGCCGCGGUAAUACGUAGGGGGCGAGCGUUGUCCGGAAUGACUGGGCGUAAAGGGCGCGUAGGCGGCUAUUUAAGUUAGGAGUGAAAGUCCUGCUUUCAAGGUGGGAAUUGCUUUUAAUACUGGAUAGCUUGAGUGCAGAAGAGGUAAGCGGAAUUCCAAGUGUAGCGGUGAAAUGCGUAGAGAUUUGGAAGAACACCAGUGGCGAAGGCGGCUUACUGGGCUGUAACUGACGCUGAGGCGCGAAAGCGUGGGGAGCGAACAGGAUUAGAUACCCUGGUAGUCCACGCUGUAAACGAUGAAUGCUAGGUGUAGGGGGUAUCGACCCCUCCUGUGCCGCAGUAAACACAAUAAGCAUUCCGCCUGGGGAGUACGGCCGCAAGGUUGAAACUCAAAGGAAUUGACGGGGGCCCGCACAAGCAGCGGAGCAUGUGGUUUAAUUCGAAGCAACGCGAAGAACCUUACCAGGUCUUGACAUCGAUGUAAAGGCAUACGAAAAUAUGCUGAGGCUUCGCGCACGACUAGAAGACAGGUGGUGCAUGGUUGUCGUCAGCUCGUGUCGUGAGAUGUUGGGUUAAGUCCCGCAACGAGCGCAACCCUUAUGAUCAGUUACUAACACGCAAAGGUGAGGACUCUGAUAAGACCGCCGGGGUCAACUCGGAGGAAGGUGGGGACGACGUCAAAUCAUCAUGCCCCUUAUGACCUGGGCUACACACGUGCUACAAUGGUGGAAACAAAGAGCAGCGAAGUUGUGAAGCAGAGCGAAUCUCAAAAAAGCCAUCUCAGUUCGGACUGUGGGCUGCAACCCGCCCACACGAAGUUGGAGUUGCUAGUAAUCGCGGAUCAGAACGCCGCGGUGAAUACGUUCCCGGGCCUUGUACACACCGCCCGUCACACCAUGGGAGUUGGGAGCACCCGAA
RNAcentral lists this ribosomal RNA (1342 nucleotides) under uncultured bacterium. RNAcentral describes it as "bacterial SSU rRNA". It matches the Rfam family "Bacterial small subunit ribosomal RNA", at positions 77 to 1425 of the family's 1533-position model. The record is from RNAcentral.